CAAAACGUAGCUUAAGAAAAGCACCUAGUUUACACCUAGGAGAUUUCAUAAAAAUGAACGUGUUGAACUAA
RNAcentral lists this transfer RNA (71 nucleotides) under Vicugna pacos (alpaca). Its description in RNAcentral is "transfer RNA-Val". It matches the Rfam family "tRNA". Rfam says of the family: Transfer RNA (tRNA) molecules are approximately 80 nucleotides in length. Their secondary structure includes four short double-helical elements and three loops (D, anti-codon, and T loops). Further hydrogen bonds mediate the characteristic L-shaped molecular structure. tRNAs have two regions of fundamental functional importance: the anti-codon, which is responsible for specific mRNA codon recognition, and the 3' end, to which the tRNAs corresponding amino acid is attached (by aminoacyl-tRNA synthetases). tRNAs cope with the degeneracy of the genetic code in two manners: having more than one tRNA (with a specific anti-codon) for a particular amino acid; and 'wobble' base-pairing, i.e. permitting non-standard base-pairing at the 3rd anti-codon position. The record is from RNAcentral. Lineage: Eukaryota; Metazoa; Chordata; Mammalia; Artiodactyla; Camelidae.